CACUUUCAAACCUGCGAUAGGCUCCCUCUCCCCUGUCCUGCCCCCUCCACUCCCUCCUCUCUCCGCGGCCGCCCCUCCUCCUCCCUCCUCCCUCCCCUGCUCUCUUCUCUCCCUCUCCACCCGGCGGCGGACCUCCGCGCGCGUGGCCACGCGACGGCGGGAGCGGCCUGCGCGCGGCGGGGCUCCUGCGCGCCGGCGGCGGGGCGGCCUGUAACGCGACCUGCGCGGCUCGGCGGUCCUCCUCCAUGGUCCCUCCCUUGGCGCCCAUGGCGGGUCCCUCCUCCAUGCGGGACGCGGCGAGCGCGUGCGCGGCGCGCGCGCUCGAUCGCGGCGGCGAGCAGCGGGGUUUGCUGGCGCGGAGCAGGAGCCAUAGCGCGGGGCGGACCUCGAGCGCGGCGGACACGGCGGCCAUGGCCGGCUCGGGACGGCGCGUCCCUCGUGGUCGGGCCCCCUCCCCGCACCAUCCCUCUCCCCGGUGGCCGGCCACUGCAGGACGGCGCAAGGCGAGGCGGGCGUCCUCCUUCCUCCCAACAUGGCAGUGGCGCGCGGGGCCAUGGCGGUGGAUGGCCAGAUCUGCACGGCGGCGACCCUCCAAGGUCCAGCGGCGGCCGGAUCCGCGCGGGUCUGGCGGUGCUCCGAGCUCCGUGGCCGGAGUUCUGCAGCUCGCCAGGUGGAGCUCGCCGGCCAUGUGCGUCGCCCGCGCGGUCACGAUGGAAGGUUGCAGCCCCCACACGCGCCGCGGCGACGUUGCUCGCCAGAGUUGUGGCCCCCAUCAUUUCAGAUCUGCGGCCUUCUUCCUUACCCAGGAAGCCAAGCUUCUUCCUCACCGGGAUCCACACGCCCUCGUCCUGCUAGGUUCCAUCCUCCGUCCCCUAUCCUCCUUCUCUGCUGUAGUGGUCGUUGCCUGGUUGCCAUUCUGUUGAUUGGGUCUUUGGGUGUUGCCUCUCGUCGUCCCAAGGUUUCAUUCACGGUGCUUCUCUGCUCCUGCUUGGUCCCCAGGUGCUUGCCUUCUUCAAAAAAAAAAUUUUACAACGAAGGAAGCGACCAUGUCUGAUCCCCUCCAUGCAUCUUAAUCCUUCUGCUAAAGAGAGGGUUUGCUGCCCGGUCGGGGAUCUCAACAAAAGAAACAAAACCAGAAAUAAGGCCUAUGAAAUUUCUUCCCUGCCUACUGCCGCCCUAAUUGGAGGUCCUUCACCGAAUGCAACAGAGAGUUUUGCCCAGGAGCUUGUUGAGAUGUCUGUUUCAGACCUAAAGUUUAAGGUACAUCAUCCCUCUUUGUAUGGUGAUGCUUGCCACAAGAAAUUUUUGAAUUCAGUUUUCAGUCAUCCAGUAUUUUAGGUUGUUCUGUUUGUAAUCAGGUUAGUUUUUACUUGCCUGCUUCUUUUUUUUGGGGAAUGUCUCCUGACAAUGGAAAUCAUUUGCAUUUUUAGAGACUGCCAGCCUUGGAACUUUUCUCAGUUACUUUCAAGGAAGGUGUAGAGCAUGAGGCAUUAUUAGAUUGAGAUGAUGAACUAUAUGAUGGUGAAUCAAGCGAACUUCAUAGUAUUGGCCUUCAGUCAGGUGGGACUUGCCCACUGCCUGAAAAUAGACAUGUCGAUGUUUCAGGAAGUCGACAACCUGUCAAUCCCCCUUCAUACGAAGUUUUACAGGUUUAUUUAACUGCUUGUCUUGCAAAUGUGAACAUCAACAACAGUAUGAGAUGAAAAUCAAAGUUUCUUGAAGAUUUUGGUGUAUCUUGUUGGAGCUUUUUCAAGUAAGAUGGAAAAAGAAAAGUGCAGCCUACUGCAUCUGCGGGCUGCGUGAUCUUUGCCUUCCACUACCGCCGCUACCCGAUUAGCCGGCAUUUUCUGGUGCCACCACCGUAUCAUCUGUCAAAGGACCAUCCAGAUGUCCAUUAGACACAUUACUACCAGCCUAAUGUGCUAAGCUAGAUGCUUUGUUCCA
Panicum virgatum (switchgrass) is the source of this 1944-nucleotide RNA transcript. RefSeq lists it as uncharacterized. Lineage: Eukaryota; Viridiplantae; Streptophyta; Magnoliopsida; Poales; Poaceae. The record is from RefSeq and is a predicted model, not a curated record. The transcript is spliced from 6 exons.